RNAcentral lists this non-coding RNA (79 nucleotides) under Candidatus Omnitrophota bacterium. Its description in RNAcentral is "Omnitrophica WOR c-di-GMP sequence". It matches the Rfam family "c-di-GMP-I-GGC riboswitch aptamer". Lineage: Bacteria; Pseudomonadati; Candidatus Omnitrophota. The record is from RNAcentral.
UGACGAAAAGGCAAACCCAUCGCAAGGUGGGGGCGCAAAACUAUAGGGUCCAUGGAAAUUGGAUAGCCAGUUGCCGAAU